RNAcentral lists this ribosomal RNA (253 nucleotides) under uncultured bacterium. Its description in RNAcentral is "partial 16S ribosomal RNA". It matches the Rfam family "Bacterial small subunit ribosomal RNA", at positions 524 to 776 of the family's 1533-position model. The record is from RNAcentral.
UACGGGGGGGGCAAGCGUUGUUCGGAAUUACUGGGCGUGAAGGGCUCGUAGGUUGCCAACUAAGUCAGACGUGAAAUCCCUCGGCUUAACCGGGGAACUGCGUCUGAUACUGGAUGGCUUGAGUUUGGGAGAGGGAUGCGGAAUUCCAGGUGUAGCGGUGAAAUGCGUAGAUAUCUGGAGGAACACCGGUGGCGAAGGCGGUUCUCUGGGAAUGUCCUGACGCUGAGGAGCGAAAGUGUGGGGAGCGAACAGG